AUGAGGUACUCGGUGGACGAGGUUCAGGCAAUAUUAUAACUUCUCCCUGAUCUCUUCAAUCUUUCUGGGGCCUAUCUGAGAUUUGAAUACAUGCCUAAGACAGCUCCAAAGCACUAUAUAUGAUCAUGAUCACUAACUAAGCAUAAGCAUAAGCAUAAGCUAUUCAAAAAUUAAAAAAUAAAAAAAACAGCUACUGCUUUUCAAUUAAUGCUACCCAACUUAAUUUCAACUAAUAUUAAACUCGCAUUACUUAACCACACACACCCCCCCUUCUCUUUCUC
RNAcentral lists this long non-coding RNA (281 nucleotides) under Ananas comosus (pineapple). RNAcentral's name for it is "long non-coding RNA (ACOM_LNC029903)". The record is from RNAcentral. Lineage: Eukaryota; Viridiplantae; Streptophyta; Magnoliopsida; Poales; Bromeliaceae.